CCGUUGCUCUACCGAUUGAUGGCUCGGUGAGGCCUUCGGACUGGCGCAGGAGGGUUGGCAACGACCCCCCCGCGCCGGAAAGUUGGUCAAACCCGGUCAUUUAGAGGAAGUAAAAGUCGUAACAAGGUUUCCGUAGGUGAACCUGCGGAAGGAUCAUUA
Molecule: ribosomal RNA, 159 nt
Filed under: Aspergillus sp. SS-S8
Lineage: Eukaryota; Fungi; Ascomycota; Eurotiomycetes; Eurotiales; Aspergillaceae
Description: partial 18S ribosomal RNA
Rfam family: Eukaryotic small subunit ribosomal RNA
Source: RNAcentral